This is a small RNA of Streptomyces pristinaespiralis ATCC 25486, 118 nucleotides long. It matches the Rfam family "Streptomyces-metK RNA". The record is from Rfam. NCBI's taxonomy places the organism in Bacteria, Bacillati, Actinomycetota, Actinomycetes, Kitasatosporales, Streptomycetaceae.
GCGAGACGGGUUGUCCGGUCCCGGAGCGCGACCGAUAAACUGGUCGCGGAACGUCGCGGGGCGCAGCCCCCUGCCGGUCCGUCAAUGAUCAGCCAGCAGCCGCUGCAACCCCAGGGAG